UACGUAGGGUGCGAGCGUUAAUCGGAAUUACUGGGCGUAAAGCGUGCGCAGGCGGUUUUGUAAGUCAGAUGUGAAAUCCCCCGGGCUCAACCUGGGAACUGCGUUUGAAACUACAAGGCUAGAGUGUAGCAGAGGGGGGUAGAAUUCCACGUGUAGCAGUGAAAUGCGUAGAGAUGUGGAGGAACACCGAUGGCGAAGGCAGCCCCCUGGGUCAAGAUUGACGCUCAUGCACGAAAGCGUGGGGAGCAAACAGG
Molecule: ribosomal RNA, 254 nt
Filed under: uncultured bacterium
Lineage: Bacteria
Description: partial 16S ribosomal RNA
Rfam family: Bacterial small subunit ribosomal RNA
Source: RNAcentral